GUUCCAGCAGCCGCGGUAACACGUAGGAGGCGAGCGUUGUCCGGAAUCAUUGGGCGUAAAGAGCGCGCAGGCGGCUCGACAAGUCGGGUGUGAAAUCCCGGGGCUCAACCCCGGGACUGCAUCCGAUACUGUCGGGCUAGAGGUAGGUAGGGGAGAUCGGAAUUCCUGGUGUAGCGGUGAAAUGCGCAGAUAUCAGGAGGAACACCGGUGGCGAAGGCGGAUCUCUGGGCCUUACCUGACGCUCAGGCGCGAAAGCUAGGGGAGCGAACAGGAUUAGAUACCCUGGUAGUCC
RNAcentral lists this ribosomal RNA (292 nucleotides) under uncultured bacterium. RNAcentral's name for it is "partial 16S ribosomal RNA". It matches the Rfam family "Bacterial small subunit ribosomal RNA", at positions 505 to 796 of the family's 1533-position model. The record is from RNAcentral.